RNAcentral lists this ribosomal RNA (320 nucleotides) under uncultured Prevotella sp. Its description in RNAcentral is "partial 16S ribosomal RNA". The record is from RNAcentral. Lineage: Bacteria; Pseudomonadati; Bacteroidota; Bacteroidia; Bacteroidales; Prevotellaceae.
GGAGUUUGGACCGUGUCUCAGUUCCAAUGUGGGGGACCUUCCUCUCAGAACCCCUACUGAUCGUCGACUCGGUGGGCCGUUACCCCGCCGACUAUCUAAUCAGACGCAUCCCCAUCCUAUAGCGGUGAACCUUUGUUCCAUUUUAGAUGUCUGCAUUGGAAAACAUAGAGUAUUAAUCCGACUUUCGCCGGGCUAUCCUCUACUAUAGGGAAGGUUGGAUACGCGUUACUCACCCGUGCGCCGGUCGCCAUCAUUGGUUGCAAGCAACCAACAUGCUGCCCCUCGACUUGCAUGUGUUAAGCCUGUAGCUAGCGUUCAUC